GAUGAAGAACGCAGCGAAAUGCGAUACUUGUUGCGAAUUGCAGAAUCCCGUGAACCAUCGAGUCUUUGAACGCAAGUUGCGCCUCAAGCCAUUAGGUUGAGGGCACGUCUGCCUGGGCGUCACAUAUCGUUGCCUGAUGCCAGUUUCCUCGUGAUGGGUGACUGUGCAGGGCGAAUGAUGGCUUCCCGUGAGCAUUGUUGCCUCAUGGUUGGUUGAAAAUUGAGUCCUUGGUAGGGAGCGCCGUGAUAGAUGGUGGUUGAGUGACGAACGAGACCCAAUCAUGUGAGACCCCUACCGAAUUUGGCCUUCAUGACCCACAUGCGUCUUUGGAACGCUCAUGACGAGACCUCAGGUCAGGCGGGGCUACCCGCUGAGUUUAAGCAUAUCAAUAAGCGGAGGA
RNAcentral lists this unclassified non-coding RNA (400 nucleotides) under soil metagenome. RNAcentral's name for it is "partial contains 5.8S ribosomal RNA, internal transcribed spacer 2, and large subunit ribosomal RNA". The stretch from base 1 to 122 matches the Rfam family "5.8S ribosomal RNA", at positions 35 to 154 of the family's 154-position model. The record is from RNAcentral.